GUAGAUCCCUCGUUAACCUUCCCCCCCGACUCUGCUUCCUCCUCACUUCCCCCAAAUCCCCCACCCGAACCCUCGGAAUCCCUCCCUCGCCGCCGCCGACCCCUCCGCCGAUCUCCCCGCCGCCGAGAUGUCUCGCCGCUACGACAGCCGCACCACGAUCUUCUCGCCGGAGGGCCGGCUGUACCAGGUGGAGUACGCGAUGGAGGCGAUCGGGAACGCCGGGUCGGCGCUCGGGAUCCUGGCGGCCGACGGCGUCGUCCUCGUCGGCGAGAAGAAGGUUACCUCCAAGCUGCUCCAGUCCUCCCGAUCCGCGGAGAAGAUGUACAAGAUCGACUCCCACCUCGCCUGCGCCGUCGCCGGGAUCAUGUCCGACGCCAACAUCCUCAUCAACACCGCCCGCCUCCACGCCCAGCGCUACGCGCUCUCCUACCAGGAGCCCAUCCCCGUCGAGCAGCUCGUCCAGUCCCUCUGCGACACCAAGCAGGGCUACACCCAGUUCGGGGGCCUCCGCCCCUUCGGCGUCUCCUUCCUCUUCGCGGGCUGGGACAAGAACCACGGCUUCCAGCUCUACAUGAGCGACCCCUCCGGCAACUACGGCGGCUGGAAGGCCGCCGCCGUCGGGGCCAACAGCCAGGCCGCCCAGUCCAUGCUCAAGCAGGACUACAAGGACGGCAUGACCCGCGAGGAGGCCGUCGCCCUUGCCCUCAAGGUCCUCAGCAAGACCAUGGAUUCCACUAGUUUGACUGCCGAUAAGCUGGAGCUGGCCGAGGUCUUCGUGCAGCCCGGCACUGGGGAGGUGCAGUACCAGGUGUGCUCUCCUGACGCCAUGGGGAAGCUGCUUGCCAAGGCUGGGCUCACGCAGCCCGCGCCUGAGGCCUGAUGUGCUGGUUUGCUGUGGCCUGUGAUGCCUACUACUCUUAGACUGCUUAAUCAGUUAUGCUUCUGUUGUUUUAAGCCAAACUAUUUGACAAUUAUGCAUUUUAAUUUUAUGUUGAACAUGCUUGGUAUUUUCUUUAUCUGAUGGAUUGUCUUGUGCUAGGCGAAAAUUGUGAUCCUUGUGUCCCAUGCUUGAUUGUUAUUGUGACCAGGGGAUAUGGAAGAAUGCGCUUAUAGAAAACUGCAGUGAAACCUAUGUGUUUGACCAUGUUCUCAUCAAGUUUGUUUAGUGAACAAUCCCAAUUGUAAGGAGGUUCUGGUGCUUGGGGCCUGUGUUUAUAAAGUUCAGCGCCUUCAAUAGAUUCAAUACCUAUGCACCAUCUAGUUUGCCCCAUGGAGAAGUUAGUAAUUAUGUAUGAUGAUUGCAUAAAACAUCAUAUAAUAUUGUAGGUUGGAAUCUUGGUGGUCAAAUGUUUUCUUGUUGCUCUAUGUCUAGGUUGUCAUAGACAACAACAAUGAUCAUGUUAGAGCAAGACAAUGGAAAUAGUAGAAGCAUUGUAUGCUACCAACUGUUUACAGCCUGUACUCUGUUCCUUGAAGAAUUAGCUACUUACAAUAAGACAUAAUCUUUGGGCGAUUUUGAUGACUUCUCCAUGAUGACAAUAUCUUGCCAAUUUUUCUGGUAGCCCCCCAUGGGCCCAUUGCACGUUUAUCCUGUAUGUACCUUGCCUUGGAUUUUCUGGAUUGCUCUUGUGUACUGGUGUACUGAUUAGUUAGUUGUGUUCUGUUGAACAACAUGGGAGCAUAACAUGCUGCUAUGCAGUCUGUCAGAUCUAGAUAAAUUUCAUACAAAUAUGGGUGCUGAAUUCUGAUCAGUUCCGCAUUAUUCAAGCAUUUUAGGGGAUUUGAUGCAAGCAAGUAACACUAGAUAUAGUCUGAUUUUGAAAAUCUGUAUGCACGUUAUAGCGCUUGUAUUCAUCUGGUCAAAACGGUAAUGAACUGUAUUUCACUUGUUAAGGAACUCAAUUCUGUGACCUGGGGCUUUUACAGUUAAAAUCGAUAUUAUUGCACUAGUGACUGAGUGCUUCUGCCAAGUUUUAGUUGAGUGCUUCAUAAAAUUCCUGCUCUUCUUGCCUGCUAUUCCUAGUUUUAACAAUAUAAUGCUUGCAACCCCGCUGUGCUCAUCAGACCUGUUAUCUGUCAAGUAUUAGUGCCCUAAUUGGACUGCUGCUGGAGUGCUUAGUUAUCAAACUGUUUCUUCUCCAGCCCUGCAUAGUGUUGAUUCCAAACAGUUUCUUUCUCCAGCCUGAGUUGUUUUCUAGGGUAUUGGCCGGGUCCAGUAGAGUUUCAUGUUUAUCUAUCUGUCCUCGUUCUCGUCAUGUUUUUAUUUCUG
Molecule: ribosomal RNA, 2269 nt
Filed under: Triticum aestivum (bread wheat)
Lineage: Eukaryota; Viridiplantae; Streptophyta; Magnoliopsida; Poales; Poaceae
Description: partial small subunit ribosomal RNA
Source: RNAcentral